UUCUUAUGUUUUGGAGUCACACAAGCUAAAGACGGGCCAUUUUCCAGACCUCAUCCAGCUUACUGGAGGUUUUGGCUCUGCGUGAGUGUGGUCUACGAGCUGUUUCUCAUCUUUAUACUCUUCCAGAAUGGAAUCGUGGGGUGGGCAGCCUCUUCCCACCCUGCACAGUGCCUCUGAGGUUCACCCAGGAUCAUGCGGUGGGCAGCCUCUUCCCGCCCUGCACAGUGCCUCUGAGGUUCACCCAGGAUCAUGCGGUGUGCAGCCUCUUCCCGCCCUGCACAGUGCCUCUGAGGUUCACCCAGGAUCAUGCGGUGGGCAGCCUCUUCCCGCCCUGCACAGUGCCUCUGAGGUUCACCCAGGAUCAUGCGGUGGGCAGCCUCUUCCCGCCCUGCACAGUGCCUCUGAGGUUCACCCAGGAUCAUGCGGUGGGCAGCCUCUUCCCGCCCUGCACAGUGCCUCUGAGGUUCACCCAGGAUCAUGCGGUGGGCAGCCUCUUCCCGCCCUGCACAGUGCCUCUGAGGUUCAUCCAGGUUGCAUGUGUCUUCCUGCGCUCCUCUUUCUUUUACUAUUUAUUUUUUGAGACGACGUCUUACUCU
Molecule: unclassified non-coding RNA, 596 nt
Filed under: Homo sapiens (human)
Lineage: Eukaryota; Metazoa; Chordata; Mammalia; Primates; Hominidae
Description: phosphatidylserine synthase 2 (ENSG00000282367.1)
Source: RNAcentral